Molecule: ribosomal RNA, 442 nt
Filed under: uncultured bacterium
Lineage: Bacteria
Description: partial 16S ribosomal RNA
Rfam family: Bacterial small subunit ribosomal RNA
Source: RNAcentral
CCUACGGGAGGCAGCAGUGGGGGAUAUUGCACAAUGGGGGAAACCCUGAUGCAGCGACGCCGCGUGGGCGAAGAAGUAUUUCGGUAUGUAAAGCCCUAUCAGCAGGGAAGAAGAAAUGACGGUACCUGAGUAAGAAGCACCGGCUAAAUACGUGCCAGCAACCGCGGUAAUACGUAUGGUGCAAGCGUUAUCCGGAUUUACUGGGUGGAAAGGGAGCGCAGGCGGCACGGCAAGCCUGAUGUGAAAGCCCGCGGCCCAACCGCGGGACUGCAUUGGGAACUACCGGGCUGGAGUGCCGGAGAGGUAGGCGGAAUUCCUAGUGUAGCGGUGAAAUGCGUAGAUAUUAGGAGGAACACCAGUGGCGAAGGCGGCCUACUGGACGGUGACUGACGCUGAGGCUCGAAAGCGUGGGGAGCAAACAGGAUUAGAUACCCGUGUAGUC